AACGAACGCUGGCGGCGUGCUUAACACAUGCAAGUCGAACGCGAAAUUUUUCUUCGGAAGAAGAGUAGAGUGGCGCACGGGUGAGUAACGCGUAAGUUAUCUACCUCGGCAUCUGGAAUAACUCACCGAAAGGUGUGCUAAUACCGGAUACGUUGAGUAAUCAAGAAAGGUGGCCUCUGAAUAUGCUACUGUGCUGAGAUGAGCUUGCGUACCAUUAGCUAGUUGGUAGGGUAAUGGCCUACCAAGGCGACGAUGGUUAGCGGGUCUGAGAGGAUGAUCCGCCACACUGGAACUGGAACACGGACCAGACUCCUACGGGAGGCAGCAGUGAGGAAUAUUGCGCAAUGGGGGCAACCCUGACGCAGCGACGCCGCGUGGAUGAUGAAGGCCUUCGGGUCGUAAAAUCCUGUCAAGUGGAAAGAAGUGCAUAGUGGUUAAUACCUGCUAUGUUUGACGGUACUACUGAAGGAAGCACCGGCUAACUCCGUGCCAGCAGCCGCCGUAA
RNAcentral lists this ribosomal RNA (505 nucleotides) under uncultured bacterium. Its description in RNAcentral is "partial 16S ribosomal RNA". It matches the Rfam family "Bacterial small subunit ribosomal RNA", at positions 29 to 523 of the family's 1533-position model. The record is from RNAcentral.